RNAcentral lists this ribosomal RNA (484 nucleotides) under uncultured bacterium. RNAcentral describes it as "partial 16S ribosomal RNA". It matches the Rfam family "Bacterial small subunit ribosomal RNA", at positions 30 to 507 of the family's 1533-position model. The record is from RNAcentral.
AUUGAACGCUGGCGGCAGGCCUAACACAUGCAAGUCGAGCGGAUGAAGGGAGCUUGCUCCUGGAUUCAGCGGCGGACGGGUGAGUAAUGCCUAGGAAUCUGCCUGGUAGUGGGGGAUAACGUCCGGAAACGGGCGCUAAUACCGCAUACGUCCUGAGGGAGAAAGUGGGGGAUCUUCGGACCUCACGCUAUCAGAUGAUCCUAGGUCGGAUUAGCUAGUUGGUGGGGUAAAGGCCUACCAAGGCGACGAUCCGUAACUGGUCUGAGAGGAUGAUCAGUCACACUGGAACUGAGACACGGUCCAGACUCCUACGGGAGGCAGCAGUGGGGAAUAAUGGACAAUGGGCGAAAGCCUGAUCCAGCCAUGCCGCGUGUGCGAAGAAGGUCUUCGGAUUGUAAAGCACUUUAAGUUGGGAGGAAGGGCAGUAAGUUAAUACCUUGCUGUUUUGACGUUACCAACAGAAUAAGCACCGGCUAACUUCGUG